Molecule: unclassified non-coding RNA, 520 nt
Filed under: uncultured Entrophospora
Lineage: Eukaryota; Fungi; Glomeromycota; Glomeromycetes; Entrophosporales; Entrophosporaceae
Description: SSU rRNA
Rfam family: Eukaryotic small subunit ribosomal RNA
Source: RNAcentral
AGCAGCCGCGGUAAUUCCAGCUCCAAUAGCGUAUAUUAAAGUUGUUGCAGUUAAAAGCUCGUAGUUGAAUUUCGGGAUUGACACAUCGGUCGUGCCUUAAGGGGUAUGAACUGGUGUAGUCAAUUUCUCACCUUCUGGAGAACCGCGAUGCCCUUAAUUGGGUGUCGCGGGGAACCAGGACCUUUACUUUGAAAAAUUAGAGUGUUUAAAGCAGGCAUUUUGCUUGAAUACAUUAGCAUGGAAUAAUAAAAUAGGACGGCAUGAUUCUAUUUUGUUGGUUUCUAGGAUCACCGUAAUGAUUAAUAGGGAUAGUUGGGGGCAUUAGUAUUCAAUUGUCAGAGGUGAAAUUCUUGGAUUUAUUGAAGACUAACUACUGCGAAAGCAUUUGCCAAGGAUGUUUUCAUUAAUCAAGAACGAAAGUUAGGGAUCGAAGACGAUCAGAUACCGUCGUAGUCUUAACCAUAAACUAUGCCGACUAGGAAUCAGACGAUGUUAAUUUUUAAUGUACUUCGUUUGCACC